Long non-coding RNA from Physella acuta, 291 nucleotides. RefSeq lists it as uncharacterized. The record is from RefSeq and is a predicted model, not a curated record. NCBI's taxonomy places the organism in Eukaryota, Metazoa, Mollusca, Gastropoda, Physidae.
CGUCUAGAUCCACAUUCAGAUCCAGUUCGGUGUCUGCUGAGGAUGGCGUCGUGGUGGACAGUUGUCUUGAUUCUCCAGAUUGGUGCAUUAUGGGAGUACACCCAUGCCACUUCGUGCACGGCCGUUACCAAAAACACCUGCACGCCGACUCUACAGGUAACUGGCACGUGCACUAGCGAGGUAUGUGACUGCAAGAGUGGUUUCGUGACGACUCGGACGGGAUGCAGUGGCUCGAUCACACCAAAAAUAGAUAUUGUAGCGAUAAGUGGGACAUCAGAAUAUCCAGGUAAU